Molecule: small nuclear RNA, 98 nt
Filed under: Microtus ochrogaster (prairie vole)
Lineage: Eukaryota; Metazoa; Chordata; Mammalia; Rodentia; Cricetidae
Source: RNAcentral
UGCGUCAACGCACACCACUAAAACUGGAGCAGUGCAGAGAUGAUGAGCAUAGCCCUGCGCAGGAGGACACUCGACUCUGUGAAGCGUUCCACGUGAUU